This 78-nucleotide Y RNA is filed under the name Nomascus leucogenys (northern white-cheeked gibbon). It matches the Rfam family "Y RNA". Rfam says of the family: Y RNAs are components of the Ro ribonucleoprotein particle (Ro RNP), in association with Ro60 and La proteins. The Y RNAs and Ro60 and La proteins are well conserved, but the function of the Ro RNP is not known. In humans the RNA component can be one of four small RNAs -- hY1, hY3, hY4 and hY5. The record is from Rfam by way of RNAcentral. Lineage: Eukaryota; Metazoa; Chordata; Mammalia; Primates; Hylobatidae.
GGCUGAUCUGAGUACAGUGGUAUUCACAACUAAAUGAUGCCUUCUCCACUCCCACUGCUUCACUUUGACUAGCCUUUA